CCCUGUAAUGGGACCACCUGGGUUCAAACCCAGUGGACUCUGCCACUCACAGGCUGUGUUUCCCUGGGCAUCAUUCUGUAACUCUGCUGCACCUCUCCUGAAAAAUAGGGAUAGCAGUGCCUACCUCGUUGGCCUAUGGAAAGGGGUAAGUGCUUCAACCAGUGCCUGGCACAGAGAAAGAGCCCUUGGAAAGAAGGCUGUUAUUAUUCCUCAUCUUGGCUUGGUGCAGCCUCUGCAAGCCCUUCUCAUAGCCGGGGCCUCCUGUUUGAACCACACAGGUCUGCAGGAGCCCAGAGCGAGGACUCAUAGGCCCAGGGAUGCGUCCAAGAACCCACAGCCUGGGGGUCUCCAGUGUCUACCUCCUUGGUCAGCGAUGGUGCCACCAGAUGCAGGGCACGGAAGGCUGUGCCGUGAGGAAGGACCAGCACCCCAGAGCUCUGGCUGGCAUGCUUCCCAGGGGCAGCCCCUGUUCCUCCUCUUGCCCACCCUUGGAGACGGGCCAUCACCUAAGAGGAGGGAGAGAUGGAAGCUGGGGGAAGAUGGGAGCUAGGGGCAGUGGCUCUGACUUAACACCAGCAUUGGUUUCCCAAUAUUGAAUAAAGAGGGCUGAGCUGGACAGCAGGUGUCCUUAGGGGCUUGACCUCACCACCCCCAGACGGGGCCUGUCUGCCCAAUUUCAGGGGCUUCUCCUCAAUUUCCUGGCUUCAGGGCGAGGCUGCUCAGCCCAGGGACAAGAAGGAAAGAUGGGUAUUUGUUAAAGGCCUACUCCACACUGAGCAGCGCAUGUUUACCCAUUUAAUCCUCCCAGCCUCCUUAGGGGAGUGCUAUGAGGACUUCUCUUUUAUUUCUCUCAUCUGAAGCUCAGAUGAGAGAGGUACCCAGUCACAUGUGUGUCAGUGGCAGAGCUGGGUUUUGAACCCAUAGCCGCCUGCCUCCAUGCAAGGCCUCUGACCUCCCCUCUGUCCAGGCUGCGUUUGGAGCCCAGGAACAGAUUCCAAGGCUGGGCCCCGCAGGGAGGAAAAAACAAAGCACGAGUCGCUCUCUGCACGGAGGCUGAGAGAUGGAGCCACCGCUGAGGAAGAACACACAUUCAUCAGGCUGGUGACCCCGGUGUACCAGCGCUUUGUGGCGUGUAACAAAGACUGCCGAGCAGAAAAUUGGAGUUCAAUUUGCCGUCCAUCCUGCACGCAGUGCUCAGCCCAUUCUAGUCCCUGGCAGGCACCUCUGUGCUUUAUCAUAAAUAAUAACACCACGCGGCUCUAUGGCCCUUUCCGCAGUUACAGUCCCCGAGCAAUUUACAAGCCAGAUUAUACACAGAAGCCUGCACAUGCCUGCCGGCCAGCACACACCACACACACGCGGCCUCCUCCCCAGUCACUCCUAGGGCCCACGGCCAUCCUGGUGUCACCCAUCUGGGGCUGCACCCAAUCUGGAGGGAAGCAGGCCGUUGUGCACCCCUGGACACUGGGCUCUGCUCCUGCCCUGGUCACCUUCUUUAUCCCUUUUACUGGCUCUCAUGGUUGGCAGAGAACCCACGAGGUCUGGUGGCCCACUGCCCCUUGCUGGACCAAGGUCAAGGCCACUUCCCCUCUCUUUCUUUCCGUUUUAGAAGGAGCUUCUGGACCUCCUCCCCUCCAAUCAGCAGUGGCCCUUUGUCUCUACCACAGGGAGUCCCGUCUCUCCUCAGAACUUAUUGGGAGUAGUGGGGGGGUGCAAAAGCAGCAACAGGGACCCACAAGUUCAACCGCUCGCUUCACAGACGAGACCCCUGGGGCCCAGAGAGGUGCAGCAGCUUCCCUGAGGACUCUGCAUCAGCUGCUGAGCUGAGACCAAAGCCCAGGACCACCGGCACCCAGUCCACUACACAGCGGAGCCCCAAGGAGGGAGGUAAACAAAGGUCUAGGGCAGACUGGGCUGCUCCCUCUGAGCAUCUAGAAACUUCCCCAGAAGCAGAAGCUUCAGGCAGGGCCUGGAGGGGCUCCAGCAGCAGCUCCUUCCCCCUCUUGCCAUCAAACUAAAUAAGAGGUCAACUAUUGUAUGAUGCCAUUUAUAUGAGAUAUCCAGAGUAGGUAGAUCCAUAGAGAUGGGGCUCAGAUUGGUGACUGGCAGGUGGUUGGGAGAGAGGGGAAUGGGGAGUGACUGUGAGUGGGUACAGGCUUCCUUCUGGGGUGAUGAAAGUAUUCUGGAACUCAGUGGUGGUUGUACAUCAUUGUGAAUGUACUAAGU
Molecule: long non-coding RNA, 2226 nt
Organism: Homo sapiens (human)
Lineage: Eukaryota; Metazoa; Chordata; Mammalia; Primates; Hominidae
Source: Ensembl